RNAcentral lists this ribosomal RNA (253 nucleotides) under uncultured bacterium. RNAcentral's name for it is "partial 16S ribosomal RNA". It matches the Rfam family "Bacterial small subunit ribosomal RNA", at positions 524 to 776 of the family's 1533-position model. The record is from RNAcentral.
UACAGAGGUCCCAAGCGUUGUUCGGAUUUACUGGGCGUAAAGGGCUCGUAGGUGGCCAACUAAGUCAGACGUGAAAUCCCUCAGCUUAACUGGGGAACUGCGUCUGAUACUGGAUGGCUUGAGUUUGGGAGAGGGAUGCGGAAUUCCAGGUGUAGCGGUGAAAUGCGUAGAUAUCUGGAGGAACACCGGUGGCGAAGGCGGCAUCCUGGACCAACACUGACACUGAGGAGCGAAAGCCAGGGGAGCAAACGGG